UAUAACAUCCUUGUUUUUAUGUGAAAAUGCUCACAAUUCUGGUCUGGGGACUCGAAAAUGUAUUUCCAUCAAUGUAGCUCAGAAAUAGAGGGAGGAUUCACUCACACAGCUCCUGCACCAAGAACAGAGUCCUCGGGGAUCUAGUUCAGGGAAGAAGGGAAAUGGAGAAGAAACGAAGGCUCCAGGAGCCCACAGUGGCAGGGGGGUCUAGGGUACCCGCUAGCAGCAGUGAUGAGGGAGAGGAGAAGAGGGCCAUCCUGGUUAAGUUAGGGGCCAGUCAGUGUAAAAACAAGUCUCCCAUCUAAAUUCGACAUAGGGAGAAAGCACACACCUUUAGAGGGCGGCUAAAUCAAGAGUCUCUCAAUGUUUUGAGUCAUCUUUUCCUUCUUGGCUCACUGCACUCACUUGGGUAAUAGCUGCUCUAUUCUUUGUGUUACAGCCUGGUGUCCUCAGGGGGCACGAAACCUCUUAUGACGAAGGGAGUCCUUAGGCCACGUGCAUGCUGUAAUUCUCAAAGUCAAGCCUUUUGAGCACUGCCAGCUCACACUCUAGAAGGGAAGCCAUUUUUAAUCCUGGCUGGCUUUAAUCCAUUUUGACUCCAAGCUGAUGUUUGAAGUAAGCCAGGAGCUGGUGGUAUGUGCCCAAAUGGCUGAAGGCUUGGCUCCCAGGUGUGCCCUCCAGGAUCUGACCUCCACCCUGGACUCUGUGGCGAUGAAGAGCCUGACAGUGCCCAUGUGGCAUUCAGGUGUGUACCCUCUCUUCCUCUGCCUGGCGAAACCACAUGUGGCUUCUAAUAUGGCUUCAUCAGUAUCAGGAGAUGCUGGUGUGAUACUAGCUCCCCGCCCUGUGUGGCACUAGCCCCACGCCCCUGAUCAUAGACCUGUGGCUAAUUUUCAGGUGGAGCAAUACUGCUACUCUUUGUUCUGCGGGCCUAAACUGAAUUACCCUGAGAAAGGAUCUAUGUGAAAUGUCUAUUUUCAUGAAAUGAGCAUUAAGCAUCAGGCAGGAAGGAAACCCCCAGUGAUGUCAAGGAGGAAGAAAAAGCUCUAUUUUGAGGGUCUACCGAUCUGUUUUUCCUGCUCUCCUCCACUCUCUGCUAAGUAUUUGCAGGCAAAGGUGUAAUAGAAAAAAGAGGGAAGGGCAGAGGGAGGUGCUUCUCGGAGGCUUUCUAGAAUCACAGGAUCCAGGCUGAACUUUGCCGUCACCUACCGUGGCCAUUAGGGACUGCAGCUGGAUCUCCAGGGUCUGCAGGGUGCGCCUCAUCUCGGUGAGCUGGCUCCGGGCGGAGGUGGCUGCGCCUGCGUCGUGGGAGAUCUGCUGCUGCAGCGAGGCGCUCUGCAGGACCGGCUCCUGGUCAGUCCUGCAGAGUGUCAGCUCGUCCAGGACUCGCCGUAAUCCGUUGAUGUCAGCCUCUACGUUUUGGUGAAGGAGAGGAGUCCCCCUUCGCUUCCAGCAAAGCCAAUACAAGCAGCAUUUCCAAGGGCACCACCAGCAUGGCUCCCACCAGGAACGC
Long non-coding RNA from Cercocebus atys (sooty mangabey), 1513 nucleotides. RefSeq lists it as uncharacterized. NCBI's taxonomy places the organism in Eukaryota, Metazoa, Chordata, Mammalia, Primates, Cercopithecidae. The record is from RefSeq and is a predicted model, not a curated record. The transcript is spliced from 3 exons.